UGGUGAUGGCAUCUCUGCAGUCAUGCUGCUCCAUUACAUUACAUCAUGGGCUUGAACAGCUGCCUGAGGUACUGCUUCCUCUGGUGCGCAGGCUUCUCUUCUGGACACUUUAUCCUUACCCAUCCUCUGCUCCAGGAUGAGCCUGAAGGGAUUGUAGCAUCUCCUGGGAUGAGUCCAGGCUGGUGUGAUGGUGUUGGCUGUCUGUGAAUCUGCCCUA
This 217-nucleotide long non-coding RNA is filed under the name Apteryx owenii (little spotted kiwi). RNAcentral's name for it is "lncRNA (ENSAOWG00000009089.1)". Lineage: Eukaryota; Metazoa; Chordata; Aves; Apterygiformes; Apterygidae. The record is from RNAcentral.